UGUGUACACACUCGAGGUUUGCAUGGUGGGACUGUGAACAGACUCAUUCAUGUUUCCAGGGUCUCCCUAAGUUGCAACCUAGGCAUAAAAGAGACAGUGGUACCUCAGCUGCCUCCUCUGCCCCACUUCUCUGGGCCCUGGAUCCUCCGGGGAUGGGGUUGGGAGGUUGGAAGUGGGCACGUGCUUCCUGGUUAACAAAGGUCCAUUUUACUGGCUCUUGUGGCCUCUGGCUGAUGCUGACCAGCUUUGAUGCUCUUCCUAAGCUGGAAUGCAAACACAGGG
RNAcentral lists this long non-coding RNA (282 nucleotides) under Ictidomys tridecemlineatus (thirteen-lined ground squirrel). Its description in RNAcentral is "lncRNA (ENSSTOG00000032081.1)". Lineage: Eukaryota; Metazoa; Chordata; Mammalia; Rodentia; Sciuridae. The record is from RNAcentral.